UCCUACGGGAGGCAGCAGCAGGGAAUCUUCCGCAAUGGACGAAAGUCUGACGGAGCAACGCCGCGUGAGUGAUGAAGGCUUUCGGGUCGUAAAACUCUGUUGUUAGGGAAGAACAAGUGCUAGUUGAAUAAGCUGGCACCUUGACGGUACCUAACCAGAAAGCCACGGCUAACUACGUGCCAGCAGCCGCGGUAAUACGGAGGGUGCGAGCGUUGUUCGGAAUUACUGGGCGUAAAGCGCGUGUAGGCGGUUUGGUAAGUCAGAUGUGAAAGCCCCGGGCUCAACCCGGGAAGUGCAUUUGAAACUGCCUUACUUGAGUAUGGGAGAGGAGAGUGGAAUUCCCAGUGUAGAGGUGAAAUUCGUAGAUAUUGGGAGGAACACCCGUGGCGAAGGCGACUCUCUGGACCAAUACUGACGCUGAGACGCGAAAGCGUGGGGAGCAAACAGGAUUAGAUACCCUGGUAGUCCACGCCGUAAACGAUGAGAACUAGGUGUAGCGGGUAUUGACCCCUGCUGUGCCGAAGUUAACGCAUUAAGUUCUCCGCCUGGGGAGUACGGCCGCAAGGCUAAAACUCAAAUGAA
This 582-nucleotide ribosomal RNA is filed under the name uncultured bacterium. RNAcentral's name for it is "bacterial SSU rRNA". It matches the Rfam family "Bacterial small subunit ribosomal RNA", at positions 337 to 909 of the family's 1533-position model. The record is from RNAcentral.